This 1018-nucleotide long non-coding RNA is filed under the name Mytilus galloprovincialis (Mediterranean mussel). The record is from RNAcentral. Lineage: Eukaryota; Metazoa; Mollusca; Bivalvia; Mytilida; Mytilidae.
CAAACUCAAGCUUCUAUAUCACGUCUUGUUAGAAAAGAAGUCUGUUUGUUUACAUUUUUGAUCAUAUUCACUCGAAAAAAACGUGGUCACACUCGAAAAAAAAGCCCGAUCAAAUCACUCGAAAAACCUCGAUCCUAGCCGGACACUAUACCUACCGUGUCGUUCUUCAAUAAAAAUCACGCCUAACUCAUUCUGUGUAAUCAUUCUAUUGAAAUGAUUGGUUGACUUGAACUACAUUUUAAAACAAUUAUACUUCAGUUAAAUUGCAUAAUACAUUUGAGGAUAAUUGAAAGAAACCACGACUAGUGAUAUUGAUCAAAAUGAUUAUGUCACAAGUUAAAAACAAUGUACCGUAAAACAAAGAUUACUUUAAGCUAAAGAUACUAUUUUUUUUUAUUUAAAUAAUGGUUAACAAUUAACAAAAAAAUACAUAUAAGAAAGAAGACAAAAAAAUCGAACUACAUAACUUAAACUAUGAUUUUAAUUUUAUGUAUGUUUAGGAUUUGCUAAACAAUAUAAAUUGCAUUUAGAAUGUUGACGAAAUUUGAAAUAAAAAAUGUUUAUUUUAAUUGAUAGUAGUAUCCGAAAGACCUAACCCAUGUGUUUUUACGAGGCGUUGGACUAUUGUCAAGUAAACAAUCAACAUAAAUGUAUAAGUAUAAAAAAGAAAAAAAGAUGUAUUAUUGCCAAUGAGACAAAUCUCCAAUAGAGACCAUAUGCCACAAAAAUUAACAACUAUAGGUCCCCAUACGGCCUUCAACAAUGAACAAAGCCCAUAUAUAACAUAGUCAGCUAUAAAAGGUCCAGAAAUGACAAAUGUAGAACAAUUCAAACUAGAAACCUAACGGCCUAAUUUAUAUACACAAAAAAUGAACAUUAUUUGUUUGUCCUAUAAUAUAAGACGUUGCAGGUUCAUAUCAUUUACAUUCAACGUUUUUUAUCGGAUUUAACCAGGUUCAACAUUGAUAGUAAAAAAAAAAUAUCCGAUAAAAAACGUUUAAUGUAAAUGAUGUUCAAC